ACCAAGUCUACGAUCUAUAGCUGAUUUGAGAGGAUGAUCAGCCACAUUGGGACUGAGACACGGCCCAGACCCUACGGGAGGCAGCAGUGAGGAAUCUUGACAAUGGGGCAAGCUGAUGCAGCGAUGCCGCGUGAGUGAAGAAGGUCCUUUGGAUUUGUAAAGCUCUUUCGUCAGGGAAGAUAAUGACAGUACCUG
RNAcentral lists this ribosomal RNA (195 nucleotides) under uncultured bacterium KC420. RNAcentral's name for it is "partial 16S rRNA". It matches the Rfam family "Bacterial small subunit ribosomal RNA", at positions 267 to 481 of the family's 1533-position model. The record is from RNAcentral. Lineage: Bacteria; Pseudomonadati; Pseudomonadota; Alphaproteobacteria.